UUUAGAAGCAAAUUAAAUUAAUUUAUUUCAAUAUUAUAGUAACAAAUCAGCUAACACUAUUAAGGAAUAAAAUUUUCAGCAAUUUAUUUAUUUCAUUUUGAUAUUUUAAAAUUUAAAAUUUUAAAUUGAAAAGUAUAAUCAAUUAAAAGUCUGCUACCCUAGCACGCGAAACGUCUGCCGCUCUGGCAUGUUUUUUAGGUUUUCUGUCUUUUGUCUUCUUGUUGGAUAGGCUGAGUUACGGCGGCUACUUCGCUCUUUAGUUCUUUUGAAUCAUCACGUGGAUCUCUGGUCUUCUACUUUCUUCUGCAACAAAUGGAAACUAGGUUAGCAGGGUUAACAUUAAAUGAAGAUGAAGAAGUAGUCUUACAAAUUCAGGAUGAGUCGCUCUCAGGUGAAGAGAAGGAAGUUUUUAGGUUAGUAGGUUGUUUCUUAACAGCUAGUGUCAUUCACUUCCUAGCAAUGAAAAGUACUAUGGCCAAUCUUUGGCAUCCCGUGCGGGGUGUUCAAAUUCGGGAUCUAGGAGAUAAGCAUUUCUUGUUCCAAUUUUAUCAUGUUAUGGAUAUGGAAAGGGUCUUGAAAGGGGCACCUCGGACUUUUAAUAAUCACCUAUUGAUGCUACAUAAGUUACAAUGGGAGGAGGAUCCUUUACAAGUGCCUUUAUUUUUUACGCCUUUUUGGGUGCAGAUUUAUGAUGUCCCUAUUGGACUAUUUUCUAAAAAUCUGGCAGUGCAGUUGGGUAAUUUUGUGGGGAGUUUCCUUGAGUAUAAUGAAUCGAAUUUGGGGAAAGAAAAUAGAAACUAUAUGCGAGUAAGAGUCCAGAUUGAUGUUAGACGACCAUUGAAAAAGAAAAAAUAAAUUAUGUAUCGAGGAAGUUGCACAUUUGUGAAAUUCAAAUAUGAAAGAUUAUCUCUAUUUUGUUUUUACUGUGGACGUUUGGGGCAUAGUGACUCAUAUUGUGAAGGAAAGAUGGCAUUGGGUGUGGAAGUUGCUGAGAUGGGAUGAGAUUUAUCACUGAGAGCUCAAUCUAGGAGGGUUCUAUCCAUGAACAGUGUUUGGUUGAGGGAAAAGGGUGAAGAGCGAACAAAAGUGAAUAAGGAUGGUAAUCAUAUGAAAGGAAUUUUUUCAUGGGCAGCAGGAAAUAAAAGUCAUGGGUGUGGGCGGUCCAUUGAUCCAAUUUUGGGAAUUAGUCUAGAAAGUAAUACGCCAUUCCUAAAUUCGCAUGGAGAAAAGCUAAUAACUAUUCCAGUGCUCACUGAAAUGGAACAUGAUUUGGAAGAAGGGAUAAUUAUUGGGGAGGAAGGAAAUAAGAGAGCUAGAGGUGAGCUAGGGGUACCAAUAGAGCAGGGGGAGAUCAAUAUUCCAGCAGUAAGAAACCGGAGAGUAAGAGAGGUCAACCAUUUAUUAUCAGCGGCUGCCAAGAAGCAAGCCGACCGAAUGCAAUGAAAAUCUUAAGUUGGAAUGUUCGUGGGUUAGGGAGCCCACGGACUAUACGUAGACUUCGGCAUAUGUUGAAGAUACAAAAUCCCCAAAUAGUCCUUUUUAUGUAGACAAAAUUAUGCAAGAGUCAAAUGGAGAGAGUUCGUUAUCGGUGCGGUUAUAUACAUGGGAUUGAAGUUGAUCCGGAGGGUACUAAAGGAGGGUUAUGUUUGGCAUGGAGAAACGAGAUUAGUGUCACACUUCACAGUUUUUCCAAAAGACAUGUUGAUGUUAUGAUAGAUGACAGUGAAGUAAGAGGAAAAUAGUGAUUUACGGGUUUCUAUGGAUCCCCUUAUACACAAGAUCGAGCUGAUUCUUGGGCUGUUUUGAGGAAUUUAUUUACUAGCGAGCAAAUCCCUUGGUUGGUAUGUGGGGAUUUCAAUGAAAUCAUGUACGGUUUUGAAAAGAAAGGAGAGCUUCCGCGAGAUGAAAGGAGAAUGGAAACUUUUCAUAGUACAUUGACGGAUUGUCAGUUGAUGGAUGUAGGAUAUUCAGGCAAUUGAUUCACAUGGGAAAGGGGAAAUUUACCUGAAACAAAUAUCCAAGAACGUUUAAAUAGAGGAGUUGCAAAUGGAGAAUGGAUGAAUCUGUUUAGGGAGGCUAAGAUCUCUCAUCUUGUUCACUCUUUUUCUGAUCAUUGCCCCCUUUUAAUUAAUACGGGGAAAGUUGACAAAUUGUUGAAUAAGAAAUUGUUUAAGUUUGAAGCCUGGUGGAUUAUGGAGGAUUUCUUUGAACAAAAGGUCAAAAAUAUUUGGGAGUCGUCUUCAGGAAAUUUGCUGGAAAAACUAGAUACGUUAAAAGAAGGCUUGGUCAGGUGGGCGGGGAAAAUUCGAAUUGCUAGAAGGGGAUGCAAGGAUUUGCUUAUUGCAAGGCUAUCAGAAUUGGCAGAGGCUGAUCGAGACGAUGUUAACUUGGCAGAGACAAUUGACGUGAAGAUUCAACUGAACUUAGAAAUUGAUAAAGAUGAACGUUAUUGGGAGCAGAGAGCCCGUGUAAACUGGUUAAAAUUCGGUGAUAGAAACACAACAUUUUUUCAUAGCCAUGCCUCGCAGCGACGUAGAAGAAACUAAUUCAAAAAUUGAAAGAUGUUGAAGGGAAUGAAAAUGAAGCAAUUUAGGAAAUGGAAAGGAUAGCACGGUCAUAUUUCCAAAAUCUUUUUACAUCAGAAGCAAGAGGAAGAGAUCAUCAUGUGUUGUCAGGAAUAGAUAAAUGCAUUACAGAGGAGGAUAACCAAAAGCUUACAGCUCCGCACUUACCAGAAGAGAUCCGAGAAGUAGUGUUUGCGAUGAGACCCACAAAAGCCCCAGGGGAGGAUGGUUUUCCGACUUUAUUUUACCAAAAGUGCUGGUACGUUGUUGGAAAUGAAGUAAUUAUUUUUUGUCUACAGCUUCUUAAUGAAGGUAAGGAGAUCAAACAUAUUAAUCAUACUCAUAUAGUACUCAUUCCAAAAGUAGCCAGUCUGUUUGAUAUGAAACAAUUUAGGUAGAUGAAUUUGUGCAAUGUGAUUUAUAAAAUUGUUGCAAAAGCUAUUGCUAACCGGCUCAGGAGAGUAAUUGAGAAAUGCAUUGAUUUGGCCCAAAGUGCUUUCGUACCAGAAAUAUUUAUAUCAGACAAUAUACUAUUGGCUUACGAAAUUCUUCAUACGCUUAACAUGAAGAGGUAGGGGAAAAAUGCUUUAUGGCUACGAAGCUUGACAUGAGCAAGACCUAUAAUAGAGUUGAAUGGAACUUCAUCAACAAUAUAAUGAUCAAAAUGGGGUUUAAUAGAAACUGGGUUGAUACUAUUAUGAAGUGCUUAACUUCUGUAUCUUAUUCAGUUGUGGUGAAUGGAUACGUAGGAGACAGAUUCCAACCAGAACGAGGACUUCGCCAAAGAGAUCUAUUGAGUCCGUUUCUCUUCCUCAUAUGUGGCAAAGGCUUAUCUAGUUUAAUACGUCUUGCAGCUAAAGAUGAGGCAUUAAAAUGUGUUAAAGUUAGCAGAAGUGGUCCGCAGAUUUCGCACUUGCUAUUUGCAGAUGAUUGUAUUUUGUUUAGUGAGGCGACUAGCAGAGGGGCCAGUAUACUGUAGGAAAUUUUAAGGGAAUAUAGGGGUUGCUCGGGUCAAUGUGUCAAUUUUGAUAAAUCUACGGUGUUCUUUAGUAAAAACACAACAGAGGAGGACAAGGGAGCGGUUGUACAAAUAUUAGGGGUCUGGAGCUCAAAUGAUCCAGAGCGUUAUCUCAGGUUGCUUAAUAUGGUAGGAAGGAAGAAGAGGGAGUCGUUCUAGAAUCUGAAGGACCGGAUAAAGAAGAAAAUUGACAAUUAGAGUCGUUCCAGAAUCUAAAGGAUCGGAUAAAUAAGAAAAUUGACAAUUGGAGUACUAGGCACCUAUCUCAAGGGAGAAAGGAAGUAUUUAUCAAGGCUGCUCUCCAAGCCAUACCUAAUUUUUCAAUGGCGUGUUUUUUAUUACCGAAAUCGUUAUAUUUGGAAUUAGAAAACAUCAUAGCUACUUUAUGGUGGCAAAAAAGUCCUUGCAAAAGAGGAAUUCAUUGGAGUGCGUGGAGAAACUUGUGUUUUUUAAACGAGAGAGGUCUUGGAUUUCAAAAUCUUUGCCAAUUUAAUAUAGCGCUAAUAGCUAAACAAGGUUGGCGACUUCUUUUUUAUCCCCAUUCAUUAUUAGCAAGGGUCUUCAAAGCCAAAUAUUAUCCGUAUUCAGAUUUUGUAAAUGAUAGAUUAGGUGAUCUUCCUUCAUUUACUUGGAAAAGUGUCUGGGCUACUAAGCGGUUGUUACAGGACGGGCUGUGUUGGAGAGUUGGUCAUGGAACCAGAAUAUCUGUAUGGGAUGAUUGCUGGAUUCCGGGAGUUGAUCCAAGAAGAUGGGAUACCAGAAAUGAUAAUGAUGUCAAGUUAGUGGCGAAUUUAAUUGAAGAUAUAAACAGAAUAUAGAAGACCAAAUUAAUUAAUAAUACCUUUCCAGCAGAUGUUGCUCAAAAAAUUCUGCGGAUACCCCUGGCGAAAACUCCUCAUGAGGAUUUUCAAGCAUGGAAAGGAGAGCAAUCUGGUGAAUUUUCAGUAAGAAGCGCCUACAAACUAUUACAAGAUGCCCAAUUGGAUCCUAAAGCUAAUUUAAUACAGACCGAUAUAAAGGAUUUCUACAAUAAGCUAUGGAAUCUACAGCUGCCUAACAAGAUUGUAAUAACAACAUGGAGAAUAUCUUGGAACUACAUCUCAACUCUAGCUAAUCUAAAAUAUAAACGGGUGACUAAUAACGUGACAUGUCCUCGCUGUGGAAGGGAGGAAGAAGAUAUCACCCAUAUCUUUCGGUAUUGUUUUGUGGCAAUCAAACAUGGCAAUUGUUAGACCAGGUGUGGAUCAGUGAAAGUAUGACUCAAGGAUUCUAGGAGUGGCUUACCUGGAUAUUUAGAUUGAGUACUUCUGAAUAGUGCAAGAUCUUUUGUUGUGGCUUGUGGUUUAUUUGGAGCUCAAGGAAUAAAUUCAUAAUGAACAGAAAGCAGAGACAGGAAGGGAGUUAUCUCUCAAAGUUUGAAAGUACAUAGCUGAACUUGAAGGGUUGAGGAUGAGGGAAAGUACCUUAAACACAAGUAGUAGUCACAAGCAUCGAGAAGGUUACACUAGAAUGACGAUCCAGUUUGAUGCAGCCUUUGAUAACAGGAACUUUAAGUCAGCAUUUGGUCUUGUGGUUUGGGGCGAAAGAGGAAGACUCAUGGCGAAGAAGACUGUUCUAUACAGGAAUGUUCAGUCACCAUUUGCUGCUGAAGCCCUGGCAGGUUUACAGGUGAUACAACUAGGAUGUGAAAUGGAUUGUCCCUUAGUGACGGUUAUAGGGGACUCUCGAACAAUCAUCAAGAAGUGCCAAGAAAUGAAGAGAGAUAAAUCAGUCACAUGAGCGAUUAUUAACGACAUUCAUAGUAAGAUGACUAGAUUUGAAGACCUUAGAUUCCAAUUUAUACACAGAACAGAGAAUAUUUUUGCUCAUAAGAUUGCAGAAGAAGCGCUAAAGAAGGAAGAAGAAACAUACCUGAUUAAAAGGAGAGGCGGUUCUCCGAAAGGGUGGUGGAGAAAAGAUCUAGAUUGAAGAGCCUAAUGGAAGAAGGAAAUGAUGUGGGUAGCAGGAAAUGCAGCUAUGAAACGGCUACCAAAAUGAACAGAUGGGACAGACGAUGGGACAAGACUAUGGAAAUAGAGUCUAGCUGUUAUUGUGUCGAUUAGCAUUAAUGAGUUAGGUUUUCUUUUUUGCAGUAAUUAGUUUUUGGCGUUUUUUCCAAAGUUGAUUUUAAAUUCGUAUUUGAUUUUUAUAGUUAGCAGGCUGAAGAUGUGUUUUCAGUCUGAUAAGUCUAAGCCCAGAUUGUGACCCAAUGUGGGUUUUUCUUCUAAUUAAUAAAAGCUAAUCGAC
This 5868-nucleotide long non-coding RNA is filed under the name Gossypium barbadense (sea-island cotton). RNAcentral's name for it is "long non-coding RNA (GBAR_LNC009428)". The record is from RNAcentral. Lineage: Eukaryota; Viridiplantae; Streptophyta; Magnoliopsida; Malvales; Malvaceae.